RNAcentral lists this unclassified non-coding RNA (315 nucleotides) under plant metagenome. RNAcentral's name for it is "partial contains 5.8S ribosomal RNA, internal transcribed spacer 2, and large subunit ribosomal RNA". The stretch from base 1 to 105 matches the Rfam family "5.8S ribosomal RNA", at positions 50 to 154 of the family's 154-position model. The record is from RNAcentral.
GAACUGCGAUAAGUAAUGUGAAUUGCAGAAUUCAGUGAAUCAUCGAGUCUUUGAACGCAUAUUGCGCCCCCUGGCAUUCCGGGGGGCAUGCCUGUCCGAGCGUCAUUGCUGCCCUUCAAGCCCGGCUUGUGUGUUGGGUCGUCGUCCCCUCCGGGGGACGUGCCCGAAAGGCAGCGGCGGCACCGCGUCCGGUCCUCGAGCGUAUGGGGCUUUGUCACCCGCUCGAUAAGGACCGGCCGGGCGCCAGCCGGCGUCUCCAACCUUUUUUUCUCAGGUUGACCUCGGAUCAGGUAGGGAUACCCGCUGAACUUAAGC